UUUCCGGUUGAUCCCGCCGGACCUGACUGCUAUCGGAAUGAUACUAAGCCAUGUGAGUCAUUGUAGCAAUACAAGGCAGACGGCUCAGUAACACGUAGCCAAUCUAACCUAUGGACGGGGAUAACCUCGGGAAACUGAGGAUAAACCCCGAUAGAUCAUUAUGCCUGGAAAGGUUUAUGGUCCAAAUGAUUUAUCGCCGUAGGAUGGGACUGCGGCCUAUCAGUUUGUUGGUGAGGUAAUGGCCCACCAAGACUAUUACAGGUACGGGCUCUGAGAGGAGUAGCCCGGAGAUGGGUACUGAGACACGGACCCAGGCCCUAUGGGGCGCAGCAGGCGAGAAAACUUUGCAAUGUGCGAAAGCACGACAAGGUUAAUCCGAGUGGUUUGUGCUAAACGAACCUUUUGACAGUCCUAGAAACACUGUUGAAUAAGGGGUGGGCAAGUUCUGGUGUCAGCCGCCGCGGUAAAACCAGCACCUCAAGUGGUCAGGAUGAUUAUUGGGCCUAAAGCAUCCGUAGCCGGCUCUGUAAGUUUUCGGUUAAAUCUGUACGCUUAACGUACAGGCUGCCGGGAAUACUGCAGAGCUAGGGAGUGGGAGAGGUAGACGGUACUCGGUAGGAAGGGGUAAAAUCCUUUGAUCUAUUGAUGACCACCUGUGGCGAAGGCGGUCUACCAGAACACGUCCGACGGUGAGGGAUGAAAGCUGGGGGAGCAAACCGGAUUAGAUACCCGGGUAGUCCCAGCUGUAAACUAUGCAAACUCAGUGAUGCAUUGGCUUGUGGCCAAUGCAGUGCUGCAGGGAAGCCGUUAAGUUUGCCGCCUGGGAAGUACGUACGCAAGUAUGAAACUUAAAGGAAUUGGCGGGGGAGCACCACAAGGGGUGAAGCCUGCGGUUCAAUUGGAGUCAACGCCGGG
RNAcentral lists this ribosomal RNA (915 nucleotides) under uncultured archaeon. RNAcentral's name for it is "bacterial SSU rRNA". It matches the Rfam family "Archaeal small subunit ribosomal RNA", at positions 1 to 922 of the family's 1478-position model. The record is from RNAcentral.